Molecule: unclassified non-coding RNA, 562 nt
Filed under: Sarocladium summerbellii
Lineage: Eukaryota; Fungi; Ascomycota; Sordariomycetes; Hypocreales; Sarocladiaceae
Description: sequence contains 18S rRNA gene, ITS1, 5.8S rRNA gene and ITS2
Rfam family: 5.8S ribosomal RNA (bases 218-371)
Source: RNAcentral
GGAAGUAAAAAAUCGUAACAAGGUCUCCGUUGGUGAACCAGCGGAGGGAUCAUUACAAGAGUAGCCCUAGGCUCUCCAACCCACUGUGAACAUACCUACGUUCCCCCGGCGGGCUCAGCGCGCGGUGCCUCCGGGCGCCGGGCGUCCGCCGAGGGCCCCCAAACUCGAAUUUAUUACGUGUAUAUCUGAGGGGCGAAAGCCUGUAAAAAUAAAUCAAAACUUUCAACAACGGAUCUCUUGGCUCUGGCAUCGAUGAAGAACGCAGCGAAAUGCGAUAAGUAAUGUGAAUUGCAGAAUUCAGUGAAUCAUCGAAUCUUUGAACGCACAUUGCGCCCGCCGGCACUCCGGCGGGCAUGCCUGUCCGAGCGUCAUUUCAACCCUCAGGCCCUCCCUUCCGGGGGACGGGCCUGGUGUUGGGGCUCGGGGUCCGCAAGGCCCCCGUCCCCUAAACCCAGUGGCGGUCGCGCUGUAAUCCCCUGCGUAGUAACACACCUCGCACCGGAGACCAGCUCGGCCACGCCGUAAAACACCCCAAUUUUACCAAGGUGACCUCGGAUCAGUA